CUUCUACGGAGGGCAGCAGGCGCGCAAAUUGCCCAAUGUCAAAAAAAAACGAUGAGGCAGCGAAAAGAAAUAGAGCCGACAGUGCAUUUUGUAUUGUCGUUUUCAAUGGGGGAUAUUUAAACCCAUCCAAAAUCGAGUAACAAUUGGAGGACAAGUCUGGUGCCAGCACCCGCGGUAAUUCCAGCUCCAAAAGCGUAUAUUAAUGCU
This 207-nucleotide ribosomal RNA is filed under the name Trypanosoma noyesi. RNAcentral describes it as "partial small subunit ribosomal RNA". It matches the Rfam family "Eukaryotic small subunit ribosomal RNA", at positions 413 to 611 of the family's 1831-position model. The record is from RNAcentral. Lineage: Eukaryota; Euglenozoa; Kinetoplastea; Trypanosomatida; Trypanosomatidae.